Molecule: ribosomal RNA, 327 nt
Filed under: uncultured eukaryote
Lineage: Eukaryota
Description: partial 18S ribosomal RNA
Rfam family: Eukaryotic small subunit ribosomal RNA
Source: RNAcentral
CCCUUAGAUGUUCUGGGUCGCACGCGCGCUACACUGACGAAUGCAACGAGCUUAUAACCUUGGCCGAAAGGUCUGGGUAAUCUCCAAAUUUCGUCGUGAUGGGGAUAGAUUAUUGCAAUUAUUAAUCUUCAACGAGGAAUGCCUAGUAAGCGCAAGUCAUCAGCUUGCGUUGAUUACGUCCCUGCCCUUUGUACACACCGCCCGUCGCUCCUACCGAUUGAAUGGUCCGGUGAAGCGUUCGGACCGUGGCCUUUGGACGGUUCGCCGUCUGUUGGCUGCGGGAAGUUCGUUAAACCUUAUCAUUUAGAGGAAGGAGAANUCGUAACA